UGUGUAGGCGGCUUGAUAAGUCAGUUGUUAAAUUUUCCGGCUUAACCGGGAGUGUGCGAUUGAAACUGUCAGGCUAGAGUGCGGGAGAGAAAGGUAGAAUUCUCGGAGUAGCGGUAAAAUGCGUAGAUCUCGAGAGGAAUACCGGUUGCGAAGGCGGCCUUUUGGCCCGUUACUGACGCUGAAAUACGAAAGCGUGGGGAGCAAACAGGAUUAGAUACCCUGGUAGUCC
RNAcentral lists this ribosomal RNA (229 nucleotides) under uncultured bacterium. Its description in RNAcentral is "partial 16S ribosomal RNA". It matches the Rfam family "Bacterial small subunit ribosomal RNA", at positions 568 to 796 of the family's 1533-position model. The record is from RNAcentral.